RNAcentral lists this ribosomal RNA (484 nucleotides) under uncultured bacterium. Its description in RNAcentral is "partial 16S ribosomal RNA". It matches the Rfam family "Bacterial small subunit ribosomal RNA", at positions 30 to 507 of the family's 1533-position model. The record is from RNAcentral.
AUUGAACGCUGGCGGCAGGCCUAACACAUGCAAGUCGAGCGGAUGAAGGGAGCUUGCUCCUGGAUUCAGCGGCGGACGGGUGAGUAAUGCCUAGGAAUCUGCCUGGUAGUGGGGGAUAACGUCCGGAAACGGGCGCUAAUACCGCAUACGUCCUGAGGGAGAAAGUGGGGGAUCUUCGGACCUCACGCUAUCAGAUGAGCCUAGGUCGGAUUAGCUAGUUGGUGGGGUAAAGGCCUACCAAGGCGACGAUCCGUAACUGGUCUGAGAGGAUGAGCAGUCACCCUGGAACUGAGACACGGUCCAGACUCCUACGGUGGGCCGCGGUGGGGAAUAUUGGGCGAUGGGCGAAAGCCUGAUCCAGCCAUGCCGCGUGUGUGAAGAAGGUCUUCGGAUUGUAAAGCACUUUAAGUUGGGAGGAAGGGCAGUAAGUUAAUACCUUGCUGUUUUGACGUUACCAACAGAAUAAGCACCGGCUAACUUCGUG